GUGUCAGCAGCCGCGGUAAUACGGAGGAUGCAAGCGUUAUCCGGAAUCAUUGGGCGUAAAGAGUCCGUAGGUGGCACUUCAAGUCUGCUUUCAAAGGCCGAAGCUCAACUUCGGAAAGGGAGUGGAAACUGAAGAGCUAGAGUAUAGUAGGGGUAGAGGGAAUUCCUAGUGUAGCGGUGAAAUGCGUAGAGAUUAGGAAGAACACCAGUGGCGAAGGCGCUCUACUGGGCAUAUACUGACACUGAGGGACGAAAGCUAGGGGAGCGAAAGGGAUUAGAUACCCCUGUAGUCCUAGCGGUAAACGAUGGAUACUAGGCGUAGUGCUGCUAGAAGGACUGUGCCGAAGCUAACGCGUUAAGUAUCCCGCCUGGGGAGUACGCACGCAAGUGUGAAACUCAAAUGAAUUGGCGGGG
RNAcentral lists this ribosomal RNA (413 nucleotides) under uncultured prokaryote. Its description in RNAcentral is "bacterial SSU rRNA". It matches the Rfam family "Bacterial small subunit ribosomal RNA", at positions 505 to 918 of the family's 1533-position model. The record is from RNAcentral.